Molecule: long non-coding RNA, 264 nt
Organism: Armigeres subalbatus
Lineage: Eukaryota; Metazoa; Arthropoda; Insecta; Diptera; Culicidae
Exons: 2
Source: RefSeq, a predicted model, not a curated record
GUUUUUUGUGAUGGGAUUUCAUCUUGGACUUUAUCCACGUUUGGCAGUAGGACCUGAAAAACUCAAAUAAUGGACGACGAGGACUCUGCUUUUUCUUCUGCACAUCCGCCGGGUAAGAUUGCCAUCGCCGAGGCAAUUGCUAUAGUCAGAAUGGUCGGGAGCCGCAACUGCUUCAGCAGCAGUAACGAUUAUGGCAAACGCUUUCCUGGACCCUCGGAAUUGUGCGGAAGUACGGAACCCACGACCCCAUUUAACCCAAAGAAA